GACGAACGCUGGCGGCGUGCUUAACACAUGCAAGUCGAACGCUGAAGCUUGGUGCUUGCACUGGGUGGAUGAGUGGCGAACGGGUGAGUAAUACGUGAGUAACCUGCCCUUGACUCUGGGAUAAGCCUGGGAAACUGGGUCUAAUACUGGAUACGACAUGUCACCGCAUGGUGGUGUGUGGAAAGGGUUUUACUGGUUUUGGAUGGGCUCACGGCCUAUCAGCUUGUUGGUGGGGUAAUGGCUCACCAAGGCGACGACGGGUAGCCGGCCUGAGAGGGUGACCGGCCACACUGGGACUGAGACACGGUCCAGACUCCUACGGGAGGCAGCAGUGGGGAAUAUUGCACAAUGGGCGGAAGCCUGAUGCAGCGACGCCGCGUGAGGGAUGGCGGCCUUCGGGUUGUAAACCUCUUUCAGCACGGAAGAAGCGAAAGUGACGGUACGUGCAGAAGAAGCGCCGGCUAACUACGUG
This 472-nucleotide ribosomal RNA is filed under the name uncultured bacterium. Its description in RNAcentral is "partial 16S ribosomal RNA". It matches the Rfam family "Bacterial small subunit ribosomal RNA", at positions 28 to 507 of the family's 1533-position model. The record is from RNAcentral.